UGGGGAAUAUUGCACAAUGGGCGGAAGCCUGAUGCAGCGACGCCGCGUGGGGGAUGAAGGCCUUCGGGUUGUAAACUCCUUUCGACAGGGACGAAGCUUUUGUGACGGUACCUGUAUAAGAAACACCGGCUAACUACGUGCCAGCAGCCGCGGUAAUACGUAGGGUGCGAGCGUUGUCCGGAAUUACUGGGCGUAAAGAGCUCGUAGGUGGUUUGUCGCGUCGUCUGUGAAAUUCCGGGGCUUAACUCCGGGCGUGCAGGCGAUACGGGCUGACUUGAGUGCUGUAGGGGAGACUGGAAUUCCUGGUGUAGCGGUGAAAUGCGCAGAUAUCAGGAGGAACACCGAUGGCGAAGGCAGGUCUCUGGGCAGUAACUGGCGCUGAGGAGCGAAAGCAUGGGUAGCGAACAGG
This 409-nucleotide ribosomal RNA is filed under the name Actinomycetes bacterium. RNAcentral's name for it is "Actinobacteria bacterium partial 16S ribosomal RNA". It matches the Rfam family "Bacterial small subunit ribosomal RNA", at positions 355 to 776 of the family's 1533-position model. The record is from RNAcentral. Lineage: Bacteria; Bacillati; Actinomycetota; Actinomycetes.